Molecule: ribosomal RNA, 1144 nt
Filed under: Triticum aestivum (bread wheat)
Lineage: Eukaryota; Viridiplantae; Streptophyta; Magnoliopsida; Poales; Poaceae
Description: partial small subunit ribosomal RNA
Source: RNAcentral
AUGAAAAAAACAGAGAAAAGGAGAGAGAGACGCACGAGAAACAGAGUCCUGGAUUCUCCUCAUCUCUCCCAAAUCGCCGCCAUCAAUCGCCUCGUAUCCCUCCUCCGACCCACCUCGCCGCCGGCCCUUCCCCUCCGCUCCUUCCACCUCGCAGCUCUAGUGGCUGCCGGAUCCGCCCAAUCCCCACCCACUCAUCCCUCUCGCGUCCCAUCUCCCUCUCUUCACACGGCUCCUUCUACGCCACCUGCGACGGUUGACUCAGGCGACGUCCGGCGAACCCCGCCACCGUGAAGCACAGCCUAAGUCCCCCUCGCACCACGGCGCCCUCCCAUCAGGUUAGAUCUGGCGCUCGCGGUCACCAAAGCCCACCCGCGACCCUCCCCCCAUGGCUCUUAGGGUUUCAGGCGUCGGCUCCGGUGGCCGUCGUCCACCUCCCAUCCGGGAGGAACCGCCAGUGGACAUCCUUGCAGAUACUCGGGAUAAAGCAGCCAUGGAGCUUCCUCCUAUUCCUCUGGCUUCGGGGCAACAACAUUGUAGGGAACGAUUGUCUUUCUAGUAAGCUAUUCUGAAGCCCAUCUACGUCUUGGAGCAGCAACCAGUGUGUUUGAGGAGUGAAAGAAUCCAGUUGGGUGGUCUGCAGCUCUGAUCACCUCCAGCAUCACCACAUAAUCAAAGUUCCAAACAGUAGUGCUGCACUGCUACCUCCAGCCAGCAUUUCACUUUGAUGUUUAUAGCUACACGCACCAACUCGAUGUAUGGUGACUCCAUGGAGCAAGUCAAGUUCGUGGAGCAAGUCAUGGACGAUGCCAUGGAAGAUUCAAAAUAUAUAUGGAUGAUUAUAAUGGUGCGUGGCAAGUAUAUUGCAAUGAUGAUGAUGUUCCGGUUCAUGAUGAUGAUGAUGUUCCGGUUCAUGAUGAUAAUGAUGGAUGCUAUCAGUUUUAGUUAAGUUGUAGGGAUGAUGUUCCUGUCUGAUGAUGUUCCCCAGUUAAGUUAGUUUAAGUUGUAGGGAUGUUGAAGGAUGCUUUCUAUUUAAGUUUCGCUGUCAAGAAAAUAUUUAGAUUAUGCAUCAAAUUUGGAUGAUGUUUCCCCUGCAAUAUCAACCAUUGUAAUCCAACAACUUUAUCCAAUAUAUGAUUUCUUUCUC